This 92-nucleotide transfer RNA is filed under the name Pangasius djambal. RNAcentral describes it as "tRNA-Arg". It matches the Rfam family "tRNA". From Rfam's summary of the family: Transfer RNA (tRNA) molecules are approximately 80 nucleotides in length. Their secondary structure includes four short double-helical elements and three loops (D, anti-codon, and T loops). Further hydrogen bonds mediate the characteristic L-shaped molecular structure. tRNAs have two regions of fundamental functional importance: the anti-codon, which is responsible for specific mRNA codon recognition, and the 3' end, to which the tRNAs corresponding amino acid is attached (by aminoacyl-tRNA synthetases). tRNAs cope with the degeneracy of the genetic code in two manners: having more than one tRNA (with a specific anti-codon) for a particular amino acid; and 'wobble' base-pairing, i.e. permitting non-standard base-pairing at the 3rd anti-codon position. Lineage: Eukaryota; Metazoa; Chordata; Actinopteri; Siluriformes; Pangasiidae. The record is from RNAcentral.
GGCUCUGUGGCGCAAUGGAUAGCGCGUUGGACUUCUAAGUAAGACUUGUUGGAGUGAUUCAAAGGUUGUGGGUUCGAGUCCCACCAGAGUCG